RNAcentral lists this ribosomal RNA (249 nucleotides) under uncultured prokaryote. RNAcentral describes it as "partial 16S rRNA". It matches the Rfam family "Bacterial small subunit ribosomal RNA", at positions 525 to 775 of the family's 1533-position model. The record is from RNAcentral.
CCUUCUGGGGCAAGCGUUAUCCGGAAUUAUUGGGCGUAAAGAGUGCGUAGGUGGUUUUUUAAGCGUGAGGUGAAAGCCAUAGGUUAACUUUUGUAAGCCUUUCGAACUGGAAGACUUGAGUGCAGGAGAGGAAAGUGGAAUUCCUAGUGUAGCGGUGAAAUGCGUAGAUAUUAGGAGGAACACCAGUGGCGAAGGCGACUUUCUGGACUGUAACUGACACUGAGGCACGAAAGCGUGGGGAGCAAACAG